UACGUAGGGGGCAAGCGUUGUCCGGAUUUAUUGGGCGUAAAGAGCGUGUAGGCGGCCAGGUAGGUCAGCUGUGAAAACUCGAGGCUCAACCUCGAGAUGUCGGCUGAAACCAUCUGGCUAGAGUCCGGAAGAGGAGAAUGGAAUUCCUGGUGUAGCGGUGAAAUGCGUAGAUAUCAGGAGGAAUACCGGUGGCGAAGGCGGCAUCCUGGACCGGCAUUGACGCUGAGGAGCGAAAGCCAGGGGAGCAAACGGG
This 253-nucleotide ribosomal RNA is filed under the name uncultured bacterium. RNAcentral's name for it is "partial 16S ribosomal RNA". It matches the Rfam family "Bacterial small subunit ribosomal RNA", at positions 524 to 776 of the family's 1533-position model. The record is from RNAcentral.